CGUUUAAUCAACAGUUUAUUUUCCACAGAAGAUAUUAUCUCUCAUUCGAGUCAUACUCGCAAAUCUUUCAAAAAUACAUUAUAUAUGAACAAAACAAUCGAAAGAAAGGGAAUCGAGGGCGCAUUUUGACGCCGAAAUAAAUCGCGGUCUGCGACUGAAAUUAACGCGAGAUGGACAAUUAAGAAAUGAACGGAUAUUUUCAUUUUUGCUUCUUUGUAAAAAGUUCGUAAAACGUCAUAAAUACCAUUUCAUACAUCGAACACUGAAACUUUGUAAAUGUAAAAAAAAAUAAUAAUCAAAAGCUCGCAUAGCUGUCAAUUCGUUGCAGUAAACGCAUUUCUACUUUAAGCUUUCCGCUAAAAAAAAAGCUUCUUUAGAACAAAACAAGAAAAUGUUUAAGCGGUUAAGAGGCUUUUCGUUAUUUUGUUUUAUUUCAUUUUAUUUUUGAUUUGCUAUUCAUUCAAUCAGUUGUUUUUUUUCUUCGUUUAUCAUCAGUUAUGCGUGUAGGCUAAUCAUAACCGAUAAAUAGACUAUCACGUUAUAGUUUUGAUAUUCGGGGAGAAUAUCGAACAUUACCAGACGAAUAUUUCAGUCCCGAAAUAUGAAUUCUCUUUCUUUCUUUUCUGUUUAAAGUGCAUAAAAUCCAUCAAACACGUCUCCGCCGUAACAUCUCGAAGUCAUUUGUUCGUCAGUGUGCUUUGUAGAAAACGAGGGCAUGCAUUUUAACAUUUUCUGCAAUCAUCAAGUGAACGUGCAAAGUUUUUUUUAUUUAUCAACGUGGCAUUUAAAAUUAAUUUUUAAAUGAAACCAUGCGCGAUAGUGCUGCAUUGUAUUGUUCUAAGCUUGAAAGUGGUUAUCACAAUGUAAAAAAAAAAAAAACAAUCGUGCAAUAAUCAUUACGGCUCGUGAUCUUGAGGACCCAUUUAUAACGUAUCACGUGUAACCCGCGUAUUGGCCAGAAGCGCCAGCGACACUGUAUUUUAAAUUACAUUUUUAAAAGAAAAUUAACCUUUGAAAUGUCUCUUUGCUUACUAACACGUUUCCCGGCUUUAUUAAGAGCUCUGGGUCGAGUAAGAAAGCGGAAAGUACAGGCUAAAAGACUUUUCCCUCGCGUUUUUUUUUUUUUUUUUUUUUUUACAGCAGGCGACUGCUUCAAAUUUCCAGCAAGAGCGACGAUAGUUAGUCAUCGCUCAUAAUUGAGGGUCCAGAAAAUAUAACGAACUAGACAAGAAAUCUACCUUAAAGACAACAUUUGGAUACGUGCUUUUUUUUAAACUCUUGCUGCUCACCUAUUAUUGUGCGUGAAGCCUGUUGGAUUGGAUUUGAUUUCCCCAGAAUACAAAUUAGUGUAGUCUAACGUGUCCAGAAAAACAGAAAAAGACGCAAGGCUCCUAAAUAAUGUAAAGCUUAUAUUUCUAAAUCUAUCACACUUGAUUACAGUUUGAUACCGUUGUGUCUGUCAGUUUGCUUUUUAAAGGUGAUGACCAUCUUAGAUUAAUAUAAAUGGAAGCUUUGAGAGAGAGAGAGAGAAAAUAAUACAUAAUCAAAUACAAUUAAGAUGAUGGAUCGCUUUAUGAGUUUCUGAAUGGGAUGUUCAGGUGGAGUCGUCGUUCUUGUCUCCUGAUGAGCUUCACACCACUAGAUGUCGCCGCGUGUUACAGAAAGGCAUCUCGGACUCCGAUUUCGUUUCUCACUUCGAACGAAUUUCUAGAGAACGACCGGCUGAGGCAAUAUUUAGAAAUGACUUGAAACAUCAUUAAGAAUAGAGUUUAUUAUUUAUUUUUUUUGUUUGCUGUCUGUCACGUUUAGAGGAGUUGUGCACGGGGUUAUGUGUCCUGCACUGAAAUAAAGAUGUAGCCAUAGCAGUCGAAAUAGGGAAGGGAAAGCUCAAGUUUAUCAACACCGUAACAUUUUUUUUAAAUAUGCACCAUUUCAUCUCAAUUCUAUGUUAAUCGUAUGUGUGCACUGCAUUAUUCGGCUGAGCUAAACAAUAGAAAGAAAACACGAAUGUCUUUGUAUUGAAUUACCUGGAAAUCAGUCUAUCUCCACUCCCUCUUCACAUAUCUCUCUCUCUCUCUCUCUCUCUCUAUCUCUCUCUAUCUCUCUAUCUAUCAUACGUUUAACUCACUUAAACAACAAGUCUCUCCAUAUAUUUUAUAGCCUAUUUCAUAUGUAUGUAUAUGUAUAUCUAUAGCGGUGAUAUUAAUGAUUGUGAAAAGAACCACGAGAGAAAAAAAUAGAAAUAAGCCACAGGGUUCGUUUAGAUGUUAGACUAUUUAGAUUUCCCUCCUUCUCAUCUUUUGCACGCCUGAUUAAAGAGGCUGUCCAUUAAUUACACGUCUGUUUUUGAUUAAAUAAGUGACCGUGUUGACAAUUUGUUGCCUGUAUUUUUUCUUUUUGCCGUAUGUUUAUGUACGUCGAUAAUAUAAUCAUUAUCUUUUGAAUUUAAAAACACUAUUUAAACGUUGGGGGAAAUGUCCUGUUCAAGAUACGCAAAACUAUAAAAAAUGUUUUAAUUAAUUUAAAGUAGUAGUCUAACGGUUAUAGAAAUGUGUUAGUGAAUACAAAACUCCUACAUUUGUCAAUUCCUCACAGUGAAACGGCUUUUUUAUGUCUCUAAAACAUUCUUUAAUUGUUAUUAAGACACGUUUGGAUUGGGCUUUAGGGGUGUCUUCGGGAAUUGCCUGAAAUCUCUUUUCAUCCUGCGCUAAGUCGAAAUUCGUCUUAAUAUGCACCUGACCUUAACUUUUACUAAGUAUAGAUUAGGUUACUUGGUCCGGAAAACCAAUCAAAGGCAAAAAAACAAAAACAAAAAAAAGCUUAGAAUUGAAAGCUAAGUAACAUGAGAAUAUCGUGAAAGUAAAUUUAGAUUUGAAGAGAGCUAACUGAAUUCAUUCUCCAAUAUGCUAUACAGAAACAGUUUUAUAUUAGAAUUCAGGAGGUUAUUGUGAGUCAUUGUCUCCCGUUAUAUUUAUAGGAGCUGUGGGAAAGUUUGAAAUCCUUUUCUCUAUAGGUUUUAAAUAUGCAUAAGUAUGGUAAUCGCGGUCCUGCUGUGUUGCAAACAGGCGCAGCAGAUCACACAUGUGCUACACAACUUCGGACCGUACGAAGUCGCCGGGAUGAGGACAUGCAGAGUCUAAGUAAGUCCCGUUUUGCUCAUUGACGUCUGUUCGUAUAAAGAUAUAUAGCAGGGCUGUCUGAAGUUUAAGGCGGAAAACAUGCGAGCAUAGGACAGCACGUGUGUUGACCCACUGGGAGUAAAUCUUUACGUGUGCCCGUCUGACCACUUCUAUUGGGUGCCAGAUCAGUCGAGCAAAGGUUCACAAGAUGAAGAUCAGACGCUUUACGAGUAGGAACUAUGAAGAAGAGAUGCUUAAGAUUGCGCAAAAAAAAGUUCUGGAAAAGAGUCUCGACUCGAAAGUGAACGCAAUUAUAUUAAUAGGAAGUGGAUAUUAGGCCUAUUGAUGACUUUAGCGGACUGAAAAAAAUGUGACCAUUACCACUGGAAGUGUGCAGAAGGAAACUGCCAUCAGUGUUAAUAAAUGAUAAACUAACAUGAGUGAUGCUUCUGAGGAGGUGCGUUGCUCUUUGAUGUGAGGAAGAAAGGUUGAGAGAGCUCUCUCCAGCACAUGACACCCUCAUUAGUGACCAGCAGCCAAAGACGCGGGGUCACAAACCCAAUGAGUUGACCAUUUCAUUCACUGUGACCUAGUGCUGCGGUGCGGUCUGACAGCAACAUACACAGUAGCUCGAAUAACCCUUGAAACUUGUGAAGAGUGCCUUAUUUUUUAUGAAACCGAUAUAGGGUCCAACUUUUCAACAUGCUUGUAGAUUUUAUUCAUUCAAUAAAUUGUGCAUUUUUCUAAAAAAGGGAACA
Long non-coding RNA from Puntigrus tetrazona (Sumatra barb), 3877 nucleotides. RefSeq lists it as uncharacterized. The transcript has 4 exons. NCBI's taxonomy places the organism in Eukaryota, Metazoa, Chordata, Actinopteri, Cypriniformes, Cyprinidae. The record is from RefSeq and is a predicted model, not a curated record.